CUGUUCACUGACAUGUUACGUGUUCGUUGAAUCAAUUAUAACGGAUACUAUCAUAUGACUGUAAUACGAAUAUCUAGAGGUAGUGUGUUUAAAUAAAAGAUUAAGUAAACAUUGUGUGGUUUAAGUCAUUGAAUAACGGCUUCUUUCACUUACAACAAGCAUAUAUCUUUCAAUGUUUUGAUUUUGACUGAAAUAAAAACAAUAUGGACAUAGCGUUUGAAAACAAUUUAUCAAAAUGAUUAGAAUAUGUUAGAAUGAUCUUAUAUCUAUAGUUUUAACUUCUGGAUUGUAAACAGACGUAACAUGGAGAAAAUAAAUUAAAAGUGAUAUUAAAUUCAUAUGGUUGUUUUGUUUUUUCACGGAAAUAUAAAAGCGUUGUAAAGACACCAUUUUCAAGAAGAUGGCUUGCAGACUUUAUUAUUCUGUGUAUUUACCUUUCUAUGCAAAUGUUCUAACAUUGACACACGACAACUUUCGCCAGUGUGAAUACUGGUUUAACUGCGCAUCUUACCAAGGUUUAAAAUCAAAAAGUGUGAAAUAUGAUCAAACAUACUUUCUCGGAAAAAACAUAAGCUUGACGUUCGCAAAGAAACUGACCUACACAAGCCAUCAACAUUUGUGGACCUUGUGUUCAAAUAACGUAUCUCUGUUGUAGGUGUCUAACAACGAGUUCUCAAUGGAAAAAACAGAUGUAAAACAUUCUACUUACGAAACGCAAGUUACUACUGGCAAACUGCAUUCGGAAAAUCAUGAUCAGAAACACAAUAUCAAGAGAAGAAAACUUGAGCGUCCAGUUAAGAAUAAAAAUGCUAUUGCAAGGACAAAGUGUAAACUGUGCGGGGCAUUGUUUUUAGCUUCUCAAAUGUGUUGCCAGUCAAAGCAAACAAAGCGAGAUAGUGAUGAAUGGGAGAGUGAAACAGUAUCGAGAAGGAGUCAAAAUUCUUUUCCAAUGCGUUAUGCCGACUUACGUCAAUCGUUCAGAAAUGCGGAGAAUGUACACAUAACAUAUGAAAAUACACCCGAAGGAAAAUUUGCUUUUUUCCCUCAAUAUACUGACGAAAGUGAUGAAAAAGAAAGUGAUAAAGUGUCACGACGUAGUCAGAGGUUUUGUCAAAAGGGUAGUGUCGAAUUACACCAGCUGUUGAAGAAUGCGGAAAAUGAUUAUAGAAUAUCUGAAGAUACAACCGAAGAAAUGUUCGCUAGCAAAUCCGCUCAAUAUACAGACAAUAAAGGACAAGAUUUAAAAUUCCAACCUUAUUAUACGUCAAAGCAAAGGAACCAAGGCAGUUUUGGGAAUGAGAGCGAUAAUGUGUCUCGAAGAAGUCAAAACGUUUGCCCGAAAGGUAAUGCCGACUUAUGCCAACUGCUGAGCAAUGCGGGAAACAAUUAUAGAACAUUUGAAGAUACUGCCGUAGAUACUCUUACCUUCCAAUUCCCUCAGUAUAACGACGAUAAACGAAAAGAUUUAAAAUUUCGAUUUUAUUAUGAUAAACCAUUUUUUCCAACGUAAUGAUUAUUAAAUCAUAACAAAAACCUUUUCAAAACUUAGUGAUAAGAAAUGAUUAAAAUAUUCUAGUUAUCCGUAAAACUUUCA
Mercenaria mercenaria is the source of this 1594-nucleotide long non-coding RNA. RefSeq lists it as uncharacterized. The transcript has 4 exons. The record is from RefSeq and is a predicted model, not a curated record. Lineage: Eukaryota; Metazoa; Mollusca; Bivalvia; Venerida; Veneridae.